Catharus ustulatus (Swainson's thrush) is the source of this 112-nucleotide microRNA precursor. The record is from Ensembl. Lineage: Eukaryota; Metazoa; Chordata; Aves; Passeriformes; Turdidae.
UCCUGCACCUCCUCUGUCCCUGAGUGGUGUCUGUCCAGUGCCCUUUUUAUGUUGUACUACUGGUGAUGAUGCACAAAAAGCAGUGCAAUGUUAAAAGGGCAUUGGCCAGCAA